AGCCUCCCACAUGGGCUUGGAGGUGAGCUUUCCACAAGCCCCAGCAGCGGUCUCGGGCCACCUGAGGCAAGCGCCUCACCCUGCUUAACUAUAUGGCCGGACCCACUUUCUGGUAACACAGAGAUGAAUCACUCCAUUCCAGCCUCUUCUCCAUAUCAACUUAUUUUAUCAGAAUGACUUGAGAGCUGGCCUUCGGGAAGCUACUCAGCACCACAUCCAAUCCUGCAUGAAUUGGCUGAGAAUGACUUUGGUCCCCUUUCGUUGGCUCUGUUCAUAUGGCUACAGCAUAGAUUAUUGCUGUAUGGUCAGAAUAAUCUGAGAAGCCCUAGGAUACACGGGAAGAGUCUGCUUUGUGGGAGUCCCCCCCCCAGGAAACGGUGCACAUGUUGGCAUGGGAAAGUACAGUACCAUGAAUACGGCCAUUGUGUUAUUAUCACAACAACCGCGGGGAGAACUUUCUAAAGCCAGGAGAGCCUGGUGAGAAAUACAUUUCUUGUGCUUCAAACACAGGAGGAAAUGUUGAUAUAUUUGUUCCUUCUUUCCCUUUUGGACUGGAAAGCUGUAACAGCCACAAGCCUCUGCAGGGAAAAAUGCAAACAACAUGAAGGUCAGGCUCAAGAUAUUUUUCUGCCUGAGGCUCAGUCCUUCCUCCCCCAUUCUGCCCACCUGUCUUUCCUGAGAGAAGCGAUCAUGAGCUUAAGCACCACCACAGUCUGUUCAGCCGCCAUCCUCCCUUUCUUCCCAGAAUUACCCAGCAUGUCAAGAGAAGGUGCCAAAUCUCGCCACCUCUGCCAAGUUCAUGGGCUGAAGGGAGAAUGCAAUGACCCUGAACAGAGGCAAGCAGGGGAGACUAGCUAUUGUUCCUGGAGCACAAUGCCUGCCAGAAUCAAAACAGACAGAGAUGAACAAAUGCUAAUUUCUCCUUUUCCGCCAUGAGACACCAGAGUAAAAAAUGCUAAUGGCAUCUGCCAGGGCCUGAGAUAAAAAGUCUGUGUGUUUGUGUGUGCUUAUGUGGUUGGGUUUGAACUGCAAGAUAAGCCGGCAAACAAGGUAAUUAAAAUAAUUAAAAUGCUAAUCAAAGGGGGGCAUCGAGCAGAAUGAUACACAGACAGUGAGGGGGUAGGGAAGGUGAAAUGUUGGAAGAGGAGGGCAAA
RNAcentral lists this long non-coding RNA (1154 nucleotides) under Pogona vitticeps (central bearded dragon). RNAcentral's name for it is "lncRNA (ENSPVIG00000009232.1)". Lineage: Eukaryota; Metazoa; Chordata; Lepidosauria; Squamata; Agamidae. The record is from RNAcentral.